This 904-nucleotide long non-coding RNA is filed under the name Homo sapiens (human). Its description in RNAcentral is "HSALNT0366964". Lineage: Eukaryota; Metazoa; Chordata; Mammalia; Primates; Hominidae. The record is from RNAcentral.
CACUCUUCUCUCUCUUGCCACCAUGUGAAGAAGCUUUCUUUCUGCUUGGUCUUCCGCCAUGAUUAUAAGUUUCCUGAGGCCUCCCCAGCAAUGCAGAACUGUGUCAGCAUCACUGCUCUGCUAUCCUUUAAGAGGCAGAUUUCCUGGUCGUACAUGGUCUUUAGUGAUUUGCAGGAAGAAUUUCAACUCACUUCACUGCCAGUUGGUGCCCGUGUAACUGCAUAAAGGUGAAAUCUUUGAAAUGGGAAGAUGAUUAUGUCUUUAAAUGUAAAAGAUUACCCACAUCUUCAAUGACAGCUUAAGUGAAACACACCGCAUUCAAUAUAAUCUGGAAAACCCAGCUCUAGUUCACUGCAGAUGCGUACCAUCUCCUGUAAUUCUAAUUGCACAUCAGACUAAGUUUACCUGCAGGGAUCAAGAAGUAUGGCAAGGCCAAUAUAGCAACAACAUGGUGCUCAUCUGCUCUGGUGUACUAGGAUGAAAUAGCGUAUUGACCCUGAAUCUAUACUCUGAGUAAAAGCAAUUGUCAUUCUGCCACUGUAACACCUUGUUGCCAGUGGCGAUGUAAUUAAAGCUGUGAGGACUCAUUUUCCAUUCUUAUCUCUUAAGCUUCUCUGAAUCAGAAACUGUUUGUCUGUGGUAACUGAGAAAACCUACUACAAGGCUACAUGUUUAUGUAUGAAUUUUUGGUAGCUUUUCCUUUUUUAGGGGCUGAAGUUAUAUGCAUAAUUACCUACAUUCAUCCAAAUAAUGUGUAUAUACAAAUGUUGAUGUGUAUGUGUCUAUACGCAUAUGCAUGUGUAUACUGUGUGUAUAUUUAUAUUUAUGCACACAACCUCACAGAUACAGAUAUAUAUAUAAAUACACACACACACACGCACAGAGUCUAAAUUUUACUCACCCC